This 253-nucleotide ribosomal RNA is filed under the name uncultured bacterium. RNAcentral describes it as "partial 16S ribosomal RNA". It matches the Rfam family "Bacterial small subunit ribosomal RNA", at positions 524 to 776 of the family's 1533-position model. The record is from RNAcentral.
UACAGAGGUCUCAAGCGUUGUUCGGAAUUACUGGGCGUAAAGGGCGCGUAGGCGGCCGCCUAAGUCAGACGUGAAAUCCCUCGGCUCAACCGGGGAACUGCGUCUGAUACUGGGUGGCUUGAAUCCGGGAGAGGGAUGCGGAAUUCCAGGUGUAGCGGUGAAAUGCGUAGAUAUCUGGAGGAACACCGGUGGCGAAGGCGGCAUCCUGGACCGGCAUUGACGCUGAGGAGCGAAAGCCAGGGGAGCAAACGGG